GCAGCUAAUUGGGUUAGAUCAAAAAUCAUAUAUCGAAAGCUUAAUUUCCAAUGUAGUCAGGAUUCAGGAAUGAAAAGAUAAAUAACAAUUGAAAUUUAUACUUCAGAAAUUCUGGCUAGGAAUUUAUGCAUUUUCUUUUCAACAGGUCAACUGGACCAAUCACCAUAUUUGCAUCAGUCUUGUAUAUGAUUCUCAAACAAAAAUAUGUUGGGAAAUCUACAAGCAACCCCUAUGUGGUUUACCCCAUUUAACAAAUGAAUUGUGGUCUGUUAGUCGUUGUGGUCUCCUCGGGUAGUCAAAUCUGGUUGGACCGAAAAUAUAUUCCUUUCUUAUACCUGAACACGUAUCACUGGCAACCUCCAAAAAGAAGUACUUCCUCAUCAGUCGUGACCAUACUACUCUUUCUCCCCAAGUUUUCCUCUCUCAGAAUUCAAGAGCCAAAUCACGCAAGGAACGUAUAGAAGUCUAAAUUUCUUCUUGUUCCCUUAUCAACCCACUCAUACUCUGAAAGUCUGAAUGGUCAAGAGGGGAACCCUCACAAGAAGAAAUGUUUUACCACAAUCUCAACGCAAUUGGAAAUGAAGAAAAACAAUCAAUGUCUUCAGCUGCCUCUCUACAUGUGAUACACCAAGUUUUUUUCGAGCUUUAGAGUCGAGUAUAGCUAAGAGGUCGCACUUGGUGCGAUGGCAAGUGCCUUCGCCCAUGAGCGGUAGGUCUCGGGUUCGAGACUUGGGAGCAGCCUCUCCAUAAAUGGGGGUAAGGCUAGCCGACAUUCACCUCUCCCAGACCCUGCGUAAAGCGGGAGCCUUGUGCACUGGGUACGACCUUUUUAGAGUCGAGUAUAGCUAAGAUGGUAUGAGCCUAAUAUUUUGUUUGAGCUCAGCUCAUUUCUUUUACAAUCUGAGUUCAAACAAGACGAGUCAAUCUCAAAUUGUAUCGACCCAAUUUACAACCUACACUAAUUAACAAUAUUUCCACAAAACAAGAAGUAAAAAAAUAUACAACCACAGCAAUUUUGAGAUUUUGAGCAGGCAGCAUUGGAUUUUUUUUUUUGAACGAAUGAUAUUUUAUUCACGUGGGUUGGACUAAUCCUCACAAUGAGCUAGCAAUAAUGUGGUUCAAAUUCGUGUUGGACAAGAAUCGAGGUAAGACCUCUCACAAAAUCAUUAAACGAAUUUUACAAGUUGUCAAAGGAUUAACAAAUUUUACAAGUUACUCGAAAUUAAUGAGAAGCUGAAACAAUAAACUGAAGAAAAAAAAACAAAAAUCCAAAACCCAAAAUUGUAAAGUUAAAACCUCUGAAUUGGAUUUGGGAAAGCAACACAAACAUAAACAUAAAC
RNAcentral lists this long non-coding RNA (1340 nucleotides) under Malus domestica (apple). RNAcentral describes it as "long non-coding RNA (MDOM_LNC002894)". The record is from RNAcentral. Lineage: Eukaryota; Viridiplantae; Streptophyta; Magnoliopsida; Rosales; Rosaceae.